GUGAAUCAUCAAAUUUUUGAACGCAAAUUGCACUCUUCGGUUUUCCGGGAGAGAAUGCCUGUUUGGGGGUCAGCCUAAAUAAAAUCGGCUUCGUAGUUUGCUGUGUUUUUCACUGUAACGUUGGUCGGAAUUUGGGUCAUCUUAAACGGAAAGGUUUUUAAGCGACUUAAAAUUUUCUUACGAUCUCGAGAACGAUACUAAGAUUGUCUUGCAUGAUCAAGGUUUCGA
Molecule: unclassified non-coding RNA, 228 nt
Filed under: Glomus sp.
Lineage: Eukaryota; Fungi; Glomeromycota; Glomeromycetes; Glomerales; Glomeraceae
Description: partial contains 5.8S ribosomal RNA and internal transcribed spacer 2
Rfam family: 5.8S ribosomal RNA (bases 1-72)
Source: RNAcentral